RNAcentral lists this ribosomal RNA (850 nucleotides) under uncultured Glomeraceae. Its description in RNAcentral is "eukaryotic LSU rRNA". It matches the Rfam family "Eukaryotic large subunit ribosomal RNA", at positions 1 to 695 of the family's 3401-position model. Lineage: Eukaryota; Fungi; Glomeromycota; Glomeromycetes; Glomerales; Glomeraceae. The record is from RNAcentral.
GACCUCAAAUCAGGUAAGAAUACCCGCUGAACUUAAGCAUAUCAAUAAGCGGAGGAAAAGAAAAUAACAAUGAUUCCCUCAGUAACGGCGAGCGAAGAGGGAUAAGCUCAAAUUUUAAAUCUGUUGGGUUCCGCUUAACAGAGUUGUAUUUUGAAGAAACGUUUUCUGCAUCCAGGAUUAGCCUAAAUCCUUUGGGAUAAGGUAUCAUGGAGGGUGAGAAUCCCGUUCAUGGUUAAUCUUAAGGAAGCUCUACGAUACGUUUUCCAAGAGUCGAGUUGUUUGGGAUUGCAGCUCAAAAUGGGAGGUAAAUUUCUCCUAAGGCUAAAUAUUGGCGAGAGACCGAUAGCGAACAGGUACCGUGAGGGAAAGAUGAAAAGAACUUUGAAAAGAGAGUUAAACAGUACGUGAAAUUGUUGAAAGGGAAACGAUUGAAGUCAGUCGUACCGGCGGGUAAUCAGCCUUUUGAGCGUGAUUAUGUGGAGCGUGAGGAGUUAAACGCCUUCAUGCCUUCAUAUUCGUGCACUUUGGGUGUACUUGCUCGUGUGGUAGGUUAACAUCAAUUUCGAUCAUCAUAAAAUGGUUGGAGGAAUGUAGCUUCGAUCUCGUAUUGAAGUGUUAUAGCCUUUAGCAGAUGUGAUGAUUGGGGAUUGAGGAUUGCAACGGAUACCCUUCGGGGCUAUUCGUCUGAUCUCUGAUACGUUGCCCUGAUGUUGAAAGUUUGCUUAUGAUGUUAGGGUAUUACGGUCAAAAGGUUAGAACGAAUUACAUUCGUUAAGGAUGUUGACGUAAUGACUUUAAACGACCCGUCUUGAAACACGGACCAAGGAGUCUAACAUAUAUGCGAGUGUUU